AUUGAACGCUGGCGGCAGGCCUAACACAUGCACGUCGAGCGAGCGGCGGACGGGUGAGUAAUGUCUGGGGACUGCCCGAUAGAGGGGGAUCACUACUGGAAACGGUGGCUCAUACCGCAUACUAUCGGCUAACCCCUAUGGGAUUAGCUAGUAGGUGGGGUAAAGGCUCACCUAGGCGACGAUCUCUAGCUGGUCUGAGAGGCUGAUCAGCCACACUGGGACUGAGACACGGCCCAGACUCCAAGGGAGGCAGCAGGGGGGAAUAUUGCACAAUGGGAGCAAGCCUGAUGCAGCCAUGCCGCGUGUAUGAAGAAGGCCUUAGGGUUGUAAAGUACUUUCAGCGGGGAGGCGUUACCCGAAGAAGAAGCACCGGCUAACUCCGUGCCAGCAGCCGCGGUAAUUC
RNAcentral lists this ribosomal RNA (403 nucleotides) under uncultured bacterium. RNAcentral describes it as "partial 16S ribosomal RNA". It matches the Rfam family "Bacterial small subunit ribosomal RNA", at positions 30 to 526 of the family's 1533-position model. The record is from RNAcentral.